UGGGCAACCUGCCCCUAGCUCUAGGAUAACUCCGGGAAACCGGGGCUAAUACCGGAUACGACCUCCUGCGGCAUCUCGGGAGAUGGAAAGAAUUUCGGCUAGGGAUGGACCCGCGGCCUAUCAGCUUGUUGGCGGGGUAACGGCCCACCAAGGCGACGACGGGGUAGCCGGCCUGAGAGGGCGACCGGCCACACUGGGACUGAGACACGGCCCAGACUCCUACGGGAGGCA
This 231-nucleotide ribosomal RNA is filed under the name uncultured bacterium. RNAcentral describes it as "partial 16S ribosomal RNA". It matches the Rfam family "Bacterial small subunit ribosomal RNA", at positions 118 to 350 of the family's 1533-position model. The record is from RNAcentral.